GAAUACAAUUAGGAGCUCCUUUCAGGCCAAUACCGAGGGCUGAGUUGCGGCAAGAGCUGCCAUCUCAUGCACGGGGUUACGCUUAAUACUUUGGCAACGUAACAGGUGUUAAGUUUAGCCGAGUGCAUGGUGUGGGAGCAACUCCUUCCGCUUUGCUUUGUCCACCAAUUGGACUGAAGGGAGCUCCUGCUUAACUGAAA
Molecule: microRNA precursor, 200 nt
Organism: Citrus x clementina
Lineage: Eukaryota; Viridiplantae; Streptophyta; Magnoliopsida; Sapindales; Rutaceae
Rfam family: MIR159 microRNA precursor family
Source: Rfam